UCCCUGGCAGUCCAGUGGUUAAGACACCAUGCUUCCAAUGCAUGGAGCACAGGUACGAUCCCUGUUCAGGGAA
This 73-nucleotide transfer RNA is filed under the name Bos taurus (domestic cattle). It matches the Rfam family "tRNA". From Rfam's summary of the family: Transfer RNA (tRNA) molecules are approximately 80 nucleotides in length. Their secondary structure includes four short double-helical elements and three loops (D, anti-codon, and T loops). RNAcentral also lists the same sequence under 3 other names. Lineage: Eukaryota; Metazoa; Chordata; Mammalia; Artiodactyla; Bovidae. The record is from Rfam by way of RNAcentral.